GAGGGUAGAGCUCAGUGGCAGAGCGUGUGCUUAACAUGCACAAAGUCCUGGGUUCAACCCCCAGUGCUUCCA
Molecule: transfer RNA, 72 nt
Filed under: Camelus bactrianus (Bactrian camel)
Lineage: Eukaryota; Metazoa; Chordata; Mammalia; Artiodactyla; Camelidae
Also listed under: 2 other names
Rfam family: tRNA
About the family: Transfer RNA (tRNA) molecules are approximately 80 nucleotides in length. Their secondary structure includes four short double-helical elements and three loops (D, anti-codon, and T loops).
Source: Rfam by way of RNAcentral